UACGGAGGGUGCGAACGUUAAUCGGAAUCACUGGGCGUAAAGCGCGCGUAGGCGGUUUGUUAAGUGGGAUGUGAAAUCCCCGGGCUUAACCUGGGAAUUGCAUUUCAAACUGGCCGACUAGAGUACGGUAGAGGGAGGUAGAAUUCCCUGUGUAGCGGUGAAAUGCGUAGAUAUAGGAAGGAAUACCAGUGGCGAAGGCGGCCUCCUGGAUCGAUACUGACGCUGAGGCGCGAAAGCGUGGGGAGCGAACAGG
This 253-nucleotide ribosomal RNA is filed under the name uncultured bacterium. RNAcentral describes it as "partial 16S ribosomal RNA". It matches the Rfam family "Bacterial small subunit ribosomal RNA", at positions 524 to 776 of the family's 1533-position model. The record is from RNAcentral.